GACGAACGCNGGCGGCGUGCUUAACACAUGCAAGUCGAACGAAGAGCGAUGAAAGCUUGCUUCUAUCAAUCUUAGUGGCGAACGGGUGAGUAACGCGUAAUCAACCUGCCCUUCAGAGGGGGACAACAGUUGGAAACGACUGCUAAUACCGCAUACGAUCUAACCUCGGCAUCGAGGAUAGAUGAAAGGUGGCCUCUACAUGUAAGCUAUCACUGAAGGAGGGGAUUGCGUCUGAUUAGCUAGUUGGAGGGGUAACGGCCCACCAAGGCGAUGAUCAGUAGCCGGUCUGAGAGGAUGAACGGCCACAUUGGGACUGAGACACGGCCCGGACUCCUACGGGAGGCAGCAGUGGGGAAUCUUCCGCAAUGGACGAAAGUCUGACGGAGCAACGCCGCGUGAGUGAUGACGGCCUUCGGGUUGUAAAGCNUCUGUUAAUCGGGACGAAAGNCCUUCUUGCGAAUAG
This 463-nucleotide ribosomal RNA is filed under the name uncultured bacterium. RNAcentral's name for it is "bacterial SSU rRNA". It matches the Rfam family "Bacterial small subunit ribosomal RNA", at positions 28 to 466 of the family's 1533-position model. The record is from RNAcentral.